RNAcentral lists this ribosomal RNA (752 nucleotides) under uncultured bacterium. RNAcentral's name for it is "bacterial SSU rRNA". It matches the Rfam family "Bacterial small subunit ribosomal RNA", at positions 33 to 773 of the family's 1533-position model. The record is from RNAcentral.
ACGCUGGCGGCAGGCCUAACACAUGCAAGUCGAGCGGUAGCACGGGAGAGCUUGCUCUCUGGGUGACGAGCGGCGGACGGGUGAGUAAUGUCUGGGAAACUGCCUGAUGGAGGGGGAUAACUACUGGAAACGGUAGCUAAUACCGCAUGACCUCGCAAGAGCAAAGUGGGGGACCUUCGGGCCUCACGCCAUCGGAUGUGCCCAGAUGGGAUUAGCUAGUAGGUGGGGUAAUGGCUCACCUAGGCGACGAUCCCUAGCUGGUCUGAGAGGAUGACCAGCCACACUGGAACUGAGACACGGUCCAGACUCCUACGGGAGGCAGCAGUGGGGAAUAUUGCACAAUGGGCGCAAGCCUGAUGCAGCCAUGCCGCGUGUGUGAAGAAGGCCUUAGGGUUGUAAAGCACUUUCAGCGAGGAGGAAGGCGUUGUAGUUAAUAGCUGCAACGAUUGACGUUACUCGCAGAAGAAGCACCGGCUAACUCCGUGCCAGCAGCCGCGGUAAUACGGGAGGGUGCAAGCGUUAAUCGGAAUUACUGGGCGUAAAGCGCACGCAGGCGGUUUGUUAAGUCAGAUGUGAAAUCCCCGAGCUUAACUUGGGAACUGCAUUUGAAACUGGCAAGCUAAAGUCUUGUAGAGGGGGGUAGAAUUCCAGGUGUAGCGGUGAAAUGCGUAGAGAUCUGGAGGAAUACCGGUGGCGAAGGCGGCCCCCUGGACAAAGACUGACGCUCAGGUGCGAAAGCGUGGGGAGCAAAC